Molecule: ribosomal RNA, 267 nt
Filed under: uncultured bacterium
Lineage: Bacteria
Description: partial small subunit ribosomal RNA
Rfam family: Bacterial small subunit ribosomal RNA
Source: RNAcentral
AGGACGAACGCUGGCGGCGUGCUUAACACAUGCAAGUCGAACGAGAUCCAUUCAGUAGCAAUACUGAUGAAGGUCGAGUGGCGAACGGGUGAGUAACACGUGAGGAACCUAUCCUGGUCUCUGGGAUAACAGUCGGAAACAACUGCUAAUACCGGAUGCCGUCGGAGCGCUGCAUGGCGCACUGACGAAAGGGUUACUGGAUCAGGAGGGUCUCGCGGCCUAUCAGCUUGUUGGUGGGGUAAUGGCCUACCAAGGCGACGACGGGUA